This 360-nucleotide unclassified non-coding RNA is filed under the name uncultured bacterium. RNAcentral's name for it is "contains 16S-23S intergenic spacer region". The record is from RNAcentral.
UCCCUUUUAGGGGCAGUCUCGUUAGAGAGUGUAACUAACGACAAGGGUUGCGCUCGUUGCGGGACUUAACCCAACACCUCACGGCACGAGCUGACAACAACCAUGCAGCACCUGUGUAGGCUCCCUUGCGGGUCCCUCGCCUUUCAGCUCAGUACCACCUACAUGUCAAGCCCUGGUAAGGUUCUUCGCUUAGCAUCGAAUUAAACCACAUGCUCCACCGCUUGUGCGGGCCCCCGUCAAUUCAUUUGAGUUUUAACCUUGCGGCCGUACUCCCCAGGCGGUCGACUUAUCGCGUUAACUGCGCCACAAAGUCCGCGAGGGACCCAACGGCUAGUCGACAUCGUUUACGGCGUGGACUAC